This 73-nucleotide ribozyme is filed under the name unclassified sequences. RNAcentral's name for it is "pistol ribozyme". It matches the Rfam family "Pistol ribozyme". The record is from RNAcentral.
UGUCGACCAGGCGACAUAAAAUAGCCUCUAAGCCUGGUGCGUGCUAUACAUUUUCACAUGUAUAGCGGCUGGU